This 380-nucleotide ribosomal RNA is filed under the name uncultured eukaryote. Its description in RNAcentral is "partial 18S ribosomal RNA". It matches the Rfam family "Eukaryotic small subunit ribosomal RNA", at positions 592 to 976 of the family's 1831-position model. The record is from RNAcentral.
CAAUAGCGUAUAUUAAAGUUGUUGCGGUUAAAAAGCUCGUAGUUGGAUUUCUGCUGAGGAUGACCGGUCCGCCCUGUGGGUGUGCAUCUGGCUCAGCCUUGGCAUCUUCCUGAAGAACGUAGCUGCACUUGACUGUGUGGUGCGGUAUUUAGGACAUUUACUUUGAGGAAAUUAGAGUGUUUCAAGCAAGCGCACGCUUUGAAUACAUUAGCAUGGAAUAAUAAGAUAGGACCUUGGUUCUAUUUUGUUGGUUUCUAGAGCUGAGGUAAUGAUUGAUAGGGAUAGUUGGGGGCAUUCGUAUUUAACUGUCAGAGGUGAAAUUCUUGGAUUUGUUAAAGACGGACUACCGCGAAAGCAUUUGCCAAGGAUGUUUUCAUUGA